Molecule: ribosomal RNA, 253 nt
Filed under: uncultured bacterium
Lineage: Bacteria
Description: partial 16S ribosomal RNA
Rfam family: Bacterial small subunit ribosomal RNA
Source: RNAcentral
GACGGAGGGUGCAAGCGUUGCUCGGAAUCAUUGGGCGUAAAGGGUGCGUAGGCGGCUUUUUAAGUCUGACGUGAAAGCCCAGGGCUUAGCCUUGGAAGUGCGCCAGAAACUGGAAGGCUAGAGUGCCGGAGGGGAGAGUGGAAUUCCUGGUGUAGCGGUGAAAUGCGUAGAUAUCAGGAGGAACACCGGUGGUGUAAACGGCUUUCUGGACCGUAACUGACGCUGAGGCACGAAAGCGUGGGUAGCAAACAGG